CUCGCGUGUCGUGCCAGCAGCCGCGGUAAUACGUAGGGGGCAAGCGUUAUCCGGAUUUACUGGGUGUAAAGGGAGCGUAGACGGCGCGGCAAGUCUGAAGUGAAAGCCCGGGGCUUAACCCCGGGACUGCUUUGGAAACUGCCAUGCUGGAGUGCUGGAGAGGUAAGUGGAAUUCCUAGUGUAGCGGUGAAAUGCGUAGAUAUUAGGAGGAACACCAGUGGCGAAGGCGGCUUACUGGACAGUAACUGACGUUGAGGCUCGAAGGCGUGGGGAGCAAACAGGAUUAGAUACCCUGGUAGUCCACGCGGUAAACGAUGAAUACUAGGUGUCGGGGGAGCAAAGCUUUUCGGUGCCGGCGCAAACGCAAUAAGUAUUCCACCUGGGGAGUACGUUCGCAAGAAUGAAACUUAAAUGAAUUGACGGG
This 424-nucleotide ribosomal RNA is filed under the name uncultured bacterium. RNAcentral describes it as "bacterial SSU rRNA". It matches the Rfam family "Bacterial small subunit ribosomal RNA", at positions 492 to 917 of the family's 1533-position model. The record is from RNAcentral.